Molecule: long non-coding RNA, 1225 nt
Organism: Gasterosteus aculeatus aculeatus (three-spined stickleback)
Lineage: Eukaryota; Metazoa; Chordata; Actinopteri; Perciformes; Gasterosteidae
Source: Ensembl
GGAAAUAAUCAGAGGACGGGCGCUUUUAGAGGCCUGGGAAAAAUAAAUGUAAAAAAUCAGAUCAAGACUCUGAUAUGGAUUCAUUCCACGAGGGCCAUUCGAGGUGGAAAUGACAACGGAUGCGGGAGCGGUUGGCAGCCCUGGUGCAGAAGGUCCAGCGGCACCGUGUUUUCUCUUGUCUUCGCCUCUGAAAUGCUCUGAAACCUUUUUUCCACGGUACGUUUUGUGAGCAGUGUUGCCGAGUCGACUAACGUCAGGAUGCACAAGCAGAGCGACACUCAAAGGAUGGAGAAGAAAAGCAGAACACGGUUUCGUUGAAGAAAGAAACAGAAGAAAGAAAAGAACAGAAAACAGAAGAAAAGGAUCUACGAUGGCAUUGAUCCCAACGUCAAUUUCUGUGAUCUAACGUGAAGCGCAAAUCCUUUACGACUAGAAACAUUGCCCAUAGUGCAAUGAAUGCUGGUUAUAGUUGUUUCACACCGAUGGGAAGUAGGAGCAGAGUAGUGCUCGGAGGCAUCUGCUACUCUUCCCUCAACGGCUGGAAGCGACGCACCACACCCAAGCGUUCUGGCCGGACCAGCCCUUAGUUAAGCUGCUAUAGGCUUAGAAUGCCGGGGGAAUUCUUAGGACACACCGAGCUCCUCUCUCACGCUCUCUUUCUACCAUAAUUCAAGUUUUAUUAAUGCACAUGACUAAUUCAGCUUCUUUCCGGGAGUUUUUUUUGUGCUUUCGCCCCUAUCAGGUCUCCAUAGAUCGUGGUUCCUUCGGGACCCUGGUCCUGACACCUACCGUGGCCAUGCUGACGCCUGCUGCUGCCAUCAUCAUCAUCAUCAUCAUCAUUAUUUUAGAUAUUAAUCAUAUUACUUUACUCAUAAACCGACAUUACCCUCUCCUAAAGUCUCUGUGCUCUCCCUCCCCACAGGAUUCUGUGGAUGGUGGUUCUAUCUGAUGGUGGUUGCCCCUGCAGUGGUCCUGCUGUGCGCCUGGCUUACUACUCACAAUUACUUGAAUCAUUUCUGUCAUAGGAAUUGCAUGUAUUAUACAUUGUUCAUUCUGUACACAUGGCAUCCAUUGUAGUCUGUCCAUCCCGGGAGUGGGAUCCCUCCUCUGACGUUCUCCCUAAGGUUUCUUCCCUUUUUUCCCUCUUGUAAGGGUUUUUUCAUUUUUUGGGGAGUUUUUCCUGUGCCGAUGGUGGGUUUCGGGGCAGAGGAUGUCGUAUGUGUAC